Parus major (Great Tit) is the source of this 8242-nucleotide long non-coding RNA. RefSeq lists it as uncharacterized. The record is from RefSeq and is a predicted model, not a curated record. Lineage: Eukaryota; Metazoa; Chordata; Aves; Passeriformes; Paridae. The transcript has 4 exons.
UGGGCAGCUGUGUCAUGCUCCUUCCUUUGUGCUAGGUUGUUACCUGGCCCUAAUGAGGACAUAUACUAAUGCUAUGAAGUAUUUAUUUUUUUUUUUCCCUGUCAAAUAGUUUUAGGUUUGAGAGAAGAUGGAAGGUGAAGCCUCUUGCCCUAUUAAUGUCUUUGGCAGUUCCCUAAACAACAGCAGGACUGACACCUGGAAAAGGAAUUUGUUUGGUUUUCUGUUCUGUGAUACUGCAAAGUCAAAUUUCACUCAAGCUCUGCCUUUCUUACAGUGUAUCAAUCACUGAGUUUAUUUCUUGGUGCAGAAGCCAUGUGAGAUGCUUGCUCAUCUCCAGCACUGAAACCAGAGGUUCACUCUAACUGCAGGACAGCAGACAUGGCACUGAUUUUAGAUUUUAAUGCAUAGCCUUGAAGUUUAUUUUAUUCAGACACAGAAGAAGGGAUGAUCAAUUCUACAGAAAAUGUGGAAACUGUAGGGUUAGGAAGCCAUUUGCCACUGGGAUUCAGCUACUAGUGAUAUUACUAGCAAAGAAAAGCAGAAGUGGAAAAUGAAAGUAAAAAAUGAAGAGAUCUGGUUUACUUGGGGCAGGGAACUUCGGCUCAGAAGUUUAAAGCAGAAGUUACUUAAAAAUUAAAUAGGAAGUUGAAAUGUCAGACUCGUCUCAGACAUCAAAAAUAUAUUCCAGGCAAAGGGUCUUAUCAAGCAAAUCUCACUGCUGUGAGAAAUGUUACAAAACUAGUAGCAAAUUAAACUGUUUCAAUUUCUGGACUUGGCUGAAAGCAUUAUGCCUGAGACCCUUUGAAUUUUCAGAGCAGUUCUCAAUGCUAUAAUGAUAUAAUUCUGGUCUCACUAAUGAUUUGAAUUUUGAUAUUAACAAUCUGUUAAUUAAUAUUUCACAGAAAAUGGUUCUAUAUGAUGAAUUUUUAUGGGAAAAAGAUCCAAUCUUCAAGAGAUUAUGAAGCCCUUUCAUUCUGAAAAAAUAUAUAUAUAUUCCUUACGCAGAUCAUUUCAUCUGCACAUGUCACAGUUAAUACUUCUAGUAUUUUUCUUAAUUUAAAAAAAAUAAAUUUGUUAUUCUCCUUGUGUCCAGGUUUCCAUACAGUGGGGUGGAAUGCCAUACUUGCCCUCAUGGCAUCAGGCUGGUACUAGUGCACAUCUGCAGGGGAAAAGAUGAUAAUUUAUUUUGGCUGGUGCUUAUACAAAUUUUGUUAGACUCCACACGAACUCUUAGAACUAAUUUCAAAGCUUUUCUGAUGAUGUUAGUGAUGACCUCAGACUAUGCUGACAUGGCACCUCUAUGUAUCUCACCUCAUGGAUAAUUCAUUAAAAUAAAGUAGGUUAAGCCACUGACUGGCCAAACAGGCUCCUACUUCAUCUCAGAAACCAGUAAGAAACUUCUCUGUGUUGUAGUUCCUGGCUUUCUUUCCAAGUCAGCUCCACACUCAUUUAAUUAGAAAAGAGAAGCUGAUGUGCUGACUGAUGAUGGGGGCAGGAGAAGUGUUACCAAAGUGAAAGAGGGCAGAGAAAAGGGGAUUUUUUUUUGUUUUGUUUUUUUUAAAAAGUCUCCUUUUUCUUCUCAGCAUUUUGUCUAUCUGUCUUGGGCUCCAGAAUUUCCUGAGCCUUUUCUGGUUAUCCCCACUGACAGAAAGGGAAAAAUGGGCUGAGUUCUGGCAUUCUUAGCCCUUCAAAGCAAAGCUGUUGAAGAGUGUUACAAGGAAUGAGAGACCCAGCUGAGCUCUCUGUGCUCACCCACAGCUUGAACAGCAGAAACACUCUAAAUCAGGCAUUUCAAGUUUAGAUGCAGGCUGUGCAGCUGCUGUUUUAUCUCUGCAGUGGGAAGGCCCGGGCCAGUGGCUGAAUUCAUUGUAGGUAAUUCAGAUUAUUUUAUUUGGAAAAAAUCUGCUUGCUGUAACUCAGAUUGAGCCUUAUCUAGCAUGAGUUUACCACCUUCUCAAUCCACCUACUACUGAGCAGCAAAGAUAGUGAGUGCUGUGGCAUCCCUUUAUUGUGGCUUAAGUGUGCACAGACUCUCCUCUAUGUAGGAGGGCAACAGGCAGAGUUUCCACUGAAACGAGUUUAACUUGAAGGUCUCCCAUGCAUUGUCUCAGUGGCUGGAUUUCCCAGGGCACACACUUUUUAAGUAUCUUUUUUUAUAAUUAUGAACUGAAUUCUUUCCAAAUGAGCUGCAUUUGCUGCGGCAAGGUGCAGAUAGAUGUGUGCUAAGUAGCACACUGUAUUCUGGCUACAGCUUCAAAGCAGCAGCAGUGAUUCAGUGAUAAAGCCUUAGGACCAGCAGUGUGUCAGGCAGGGCAGCUGCCUUGGGUGCUUAUAGGGGUCUGUGUGCCAUUUGUUUUGUUGCUUUAGAAAGGCCUAAGUGAGGAAAAGCAGGGUGCACACCUGCAUGGCUUCCUGCAGCAUGGUGGGGACUGUUCCUCAUAAAAAUGGAGCACCUUCAAAUGCAAUAGGAUCUGUCAGGCUGAGAAAGAGUGAUGGGCUCCUGUUAGCAUCAAUAGCAAAAGGUCUUUGUACACAAAUUGGUAAGUAUACCGUGAAAACCAUCACUCAUAUCUGAAAAUCCUGGUCUUUUCUCUGAAUUAAAAAACCCUGUUUGCUUAUAUUAGAAGAAAAAGUUAUGACCUUUUUUAGUGAAGUUGUAAUUAUGUCUGCAAGCUAAGAUUCUUGCUGCAGCAUUUUCUGACACUGACAGUUUCACUGUGGUGACAUCACCACAGUUGACCUCAGCAACCUGAAUUUCACCCAUUGGCCUGAAAAAUAUGAGAACAAAAAUGUAUGCAAAGACGAAUAAAUAUUAAAAUAUUGCUAGAGGCAGCUUGCUGCCACAGUGUCUGGGUGAGCUUAUUGACUGCUGGCCAAGUCUGCAACACAGCCCCAGCUUCAAAUGCCAUAGCACUCUGAUGACCCUAUAUUGAACACCUACUUUAAAGCAGCUCAUAUUUUUUCCUAAAUUUGGCCUGUGUCUUAAUAGAAGUAGUUUUGUUUCUUAUAACCCAACCAUAAUGCAACCAUAGGGGGUUUCACAUUCAGAGACAGACAGUUUGAGCUGUAUAUUUAAUUUCUUUUCCUAAAGAUCUCUUCAACAUCCAGGAGAAAAGAAAAAAAGUGUCCUUGUUUGAAAUAUCACUGCUCAUAUGAUAAUUCGGGUAAAUAUUAAUUUUAAAUAAGUGUAGAAGAAAAAGCAGCAGAAAAAAAAAGCCAUAGUUUCUGUGUCUCUAACUUCCAGAUUAAUUUAUAAUUUGACUGUCAUUAUCGUUGUGGUUAUUUCCUUUUCUUACUGUAUGGUGUGAUCACCUCAGCCAGCAAAUCCCCACCCAGCCGAUUACAUACUCCCCCACAGUGGCAUGGGAGAGAGAAUCAGAAGAGCAACAGUGAGAAAACUUGUGGGUCAAGGUAAAAAAAGCAGUUUUAAAAAUGAGGAGAAAGAGUAGGGGGACACAAACUGAUGCAGAAGAAGUCACUUCUCACCUCCCACAAGCAGACCAGUGCCUAGUCAGUCAGCCUCCAAAGAGGGAGGAAAGGCCAAACCCCCAGUUCUGUGGCUGAGCCUGGCACUGUGUGACAUGCAGCACCGUUUUGGUCAGCCCGAGGUGCUGUCCUGGCUGUGCCCACUGCCAGCCUCCUGCCAGCCCUGUGGGCGACAGAGCUGAGGAGAAGAGAAAGCCCUGACAUCCUGCAAGCCCUGUUCAGCACCACCUCGAAUACUGGUGUGCUAUCAGCACAAUUUUAGUUGCAAGCUGGCAAGGUGCAGAUGUGAUGAAACAAUUAACUUCGUUGCAGCCACCCCCAGCACACAGCUUCGUUUAAAAGUUUUCUCUUUUUUUCCUCUUUCCCCAGUGCAGCUAUUUGCUGUUUUUCCCAUUCUUUUGCACCAUCACAUCUUCUCUAUGAUUCUUCACACUGCUGCCUUUCCCAAAAGAAGUUUGUAACUUCAUCAGUGUUUUUGUGCACCCAGGCAGGCAGGGAGGGGAAGUGGGGAGCCAUAUAAAUAUGUUUUGAACUGUGUAGGCUAACCAACAACUCACAUCUGCGUCACAGCUCAACAUUCACUUGAAGAAAACCAAGUGUACUAUAUCAGAAAAUUUCAGCUCUGUCUCAAAUUACACUUCACAAGAUCAACAAAGACACCACAAAGAAAAUAGUUCAGCUUUGCAGCCUAGAGGAGCUGUAACUGUCGUCCUUUGCAUUGUACUUAAGUGCUGCUGUUUUGUAUAUAGCUUAAGGUUGUUUCAUCAAUUUUCUAACUUUUAACAAAAUCUUAAUUUUCUACUUAGUCAUUUCACUGUAUUUCAUCCCAGCUCUGAGCAACACCAGCUUAAACUGAAAAUGAGAAAAAGCAAUACGAAUUUCCUUUCUUGUAGUGAAAAUAUUAAUACUUCAAUAGGAAGAAGAAAGGCUUUAUUUGGAAAGGUAAGAGAGAAAAGAUGGGGUGGAAAAAAAUGAGAUAUACUGGUAACAUUUCUCUUAAGACUAGAGUAGAAGUUGCUUUAGGUAAGGUAGUCUGUAAAUUUUUCUGAUGUUAUUCUGAUACAAUUCUGAAAGUGAAUUCUGAGGUGUUUUUCUCCUUACUUUGCAAAAUCAACUUUUAGUUAGUGUUCCUAAACACUAACAUGUACAUGUAUUUACGUUAGUACACGUGUGUAUUAAGAAUCCCUAGUCCAUCACUUUCCAGUGACCUCAAAGAUUUUUGGUGUAAUUAAAAAAAAUAAAAAUAGAACUUAUUCUCCCUUCACAGAAGAAAUCAUUAACUAAUUUUAGCCUAUCCACCACUUUAGAUCACAUCUCUGUUGUUUCUCUUGCUUGUCAUGUGGCUGUGAGAGUAGUGAGUCUUCUGUCUCAGGCGGUUCCUCAUUUUAGAAGGGGAAGGAUUUUUAUUGUCAAGCCUUUGUGCAGUGUAAACACUUUUUUUCUCCCCCCCCCCCAUUCUCUUGAUAGGUGGUAGGGAUUUGGGAUCUGCCUCCGCAUAAGGCAAUUCUGCUGGUGAGGAUGUCUGUAUGUUUUAAAGAAGAGCAUUUAUCCCUCUUACAGGCUUGAAAAGAAGGUCAGAAUUCACGAUAACUUUUGUUUUUCUUUCAAACACUUGCCAAGUAACGUCAGAGCUCAGUUAAACCAUGCACCAUUAGAGUGUGUUGAACUUGUCCCGAGCUAUCGCGCCAGCCCCCUUGGGGAGCCCGGGUGCCCACACGGCUGCGUUCGGGGCCAUGCCUGUGCCUCCCGCCGCUCCCCUCUCCCCGCUCCUCCCUCCCAGCUCCCCGCUCCUCUCCCCGCUCUGCCCGCUGCUCCCUCCUGCGGAGCCCCGCGCCGGGCCCGGCCUGCUCCGGAGGAGCAGCGAGGGAAGGCAGCCAGAGUGCGCUAUGGGCCUGGGUGCCCGGUGGGACUGGGGGAGGUGGAGCUGGCGGGAGCCGCCGCAGAGGAGCGGGGCCGUCACAACAGCUGCUCAUAACGUGAGGCGGCCGAAACUGCGCCGUAGCCGCGUUCUCCUUGGCGUGGGAUGGGAAAUAGAAGGUGUGUUGAUCCAAAGAUACGUCAAAGGUGGUUGGUGUCAUUGUCCUGGAAGUGUAACAGACUGAAAAGGUGCAUUUCUGACAACAAUUACGCUUGUAAUGGUGAACCGUGGAGCAUGAGCCACUAUGGGAGAGCUCCCUGUGGGCCUCCCUCACAGCUCCUUUGUGGGGUGUUGGCACUGUAUUUCUGUGGUUAUGGCACAAAAGUUCUAGGGGUCAAACUUUGUCUGGUAGAACAAAGAGGAACAGAAGAUUUUACAGAAGAGCAUUUUGGAAGAUCCUUGUCUGUCCCAGGGAAUAUUUUCUGGCCCUGCAGAGAGCCACAGGAUUUUUCCUACCACACAGAAUUAAAAGGAGAACCUCACUGCUAUCUAUGCUAUUCUGAAGUCAUAACAAGAAUGAGGUGAAUGACUUAAAAAAUAUAUAUAUUUUUAGUAUUAAAUGGAACUCCAUUUACGUGUGGUUAAUGUUGACAUGAAAAGUAUGCUCUGGUAAAUAUGUGGUCUGAUAAGAGCUGCUGGAAUCAAAAAUAAAGGCAAAUUAUUAUCAAUUUGGCAAUUCUGAACAGCUGCCUAUUUUAUCUUUGAAAUAAAUGGCUGGAAAGAUUUUUUUUUCUUUUUUCUUUUUUUUUUUAGAAAAAAUUGGAAUUAUGCUACUAUGAAAGCACAAAAGUAUUCUCUCUAUUUCUGUCUGAGGAUAUUGUGAAUAUUUGCAUUGCUCUUUUUUGACACUAUGGGUAAUAGCAGAAGCAGCGUGGAUUAAACCUUUCUCAGAGAGCAUGGCAUAGACUGUAAUAGAAGUCUCAAAAGAAGAAAUGAUUGCUUUCAAAAACCUCAAAAGAUAUAUUAAAAAAAGCAGCUUCAUGCUUAUGGGUAUGGUAACCCUUGAUAAAAGGCUACACUGUCUUGGCUCUCAAAACUCUUGAAAUUAAAUUAAAUCCACUGAAAUUCUUUAGUAAAAGGCUAAGAAGUAAUAGCUUUUAUUCUGUCAGUGUGCCCUACUGGAUUUUUCCCUUCCAAACCACCUGAGAUCCUCCUCUUAAUAGCAGAGAUGAUUAUAUAUAUGUGUCCCAGAAUUCACAACAUUACAGCAGGUCAUCUGUCCAUUUCACUUCUUUCCCUUUUUGAGGUAGGGUGAACACUGUAUGCAAAGUACUGAGUCUCAGAAAUUACUCUUUUUCUGCCUCUUUCUGGCCACUUGACUCAUCUUUGCCUUCAGAACAAAACCAGCUUUGCCUUUAUGAAAUAAGCUGUGGUGGCAGUACGAGCAGCCGUGCCUGCAUUUUGCCCGUGCCAGCUCUCUCUCCGUGCUGCUGCCCGGGGCCUCAUGCUGAGUGACCCCUGGGCAGGCUGCAGCCCUUUUGCUGGCUCCUACAGAUGUGUUGUUAAUGAAUCUCACAUGGGAAGAAGAGGGGUAGAUGUAGUAGCUUUCUCCUUGCGAGCUUCAGUGAGGCAUGGGGGGCAGGUGCUCACCUGCAUGUGUCAAAUAAAUGCAACAGUGUCAAGUGUUAUGGAUGUUGUGCAAACUGGCUGUAAUAGGAACAGGUUGAUUUUUUUUCAUAAAGUGCAUAUUAAGUCCCAUGUACUCCAGGAAAAAAAACCAACAGGAGUGUGUGCUGUUACCCUGGGGACUGCUCUGAACUCUUACAGUUCUACAGUAUGUGAAACACAUGUUAUUGUAAGCAUUGAUGAGACUGAAGAAAUAACAAGGCUCUACAGCACAGAAACCUGUGUUAAUAGUUUGCAGGUUAAAUAUAUAAAGGGAUGACUUGGCUAUGGGAACUUUCCCCUUCUUCAGACAGUAUCUGAAGAAAGUGGAGUAAGUGAACCAUUGUAAGAACAGAUUGAAACCAGUGAGAACAAUGGCCAGCACAUGGACUCUAUACCAAUCACUCACCAAGCAGGGGGCCUUGGACCAUGCCAGAGGGUCACAGAGAUCUGAUGAAGACUUUCCUGACUUCACCCUUUGAAGACCACUGACCCAAUUUGAGACCACCAACCCAAAUCAAGAGAAGAAUUGUGCACACGUGAAGGACUAAGAGCUUCAUUUUAAUACUAAAUGGGGAUGGAAGGUGCUGGGGUUAUGCAUGUGUUUUGUAUGUAAGAUUUUGGAAAAUAAAUAGAGGGAAGAGAACUUUGUUUGGGGCAGUCAUGCCUUUUGGGGACAAUCCCCGUGCCGCCCACUGGUGAAUAAACAUACCACAUUUUAACUUUAAUUACUUAAAGGGUCUUUGUCUGUGUUCAUAGUGUUUUUUUAAUGAUUCACAUGGGCAAUCAUUGCCUGAUUAAAAUAUAUUAUUGUGUGUAGGCUGAAUGAUACUGCAGUGUUUAGUGGGAAAAAAAUUCUUUAAUGAAGUCUGGAGAGUUCCCAUACAAAAAUACCAGACACUCAUAUUCAUUCUACCAUAUUUUGCAGUGUGGAAUUUUUUUUCAGUGAUACUGGCAGUUAUGGAUCAGGGAAGAAUCUUCAGUGGAUGUAUGGUGGUUGGUGUAUGCAUGUGCUCAUGCAUCAUGUCCACAGCAAUGUUGAUGAAAAGCUCUGCCAGUCCUACACUGUUGGAAAAAUAAUUUUUAAGUCUCUGCCUCUCUCUCUGAAGCAUCUUCAGGAUGAUUCCAGAGGUAAGGAGAAACAUAAACAUGGGAUUCAGAUGUUCAUAAACUAGAAGGGGAAAAAUAUUUUUAAAAUAAAAGAAAAUCCCAACAAAAUAAAUCCAUAGAUUU